AACGAACGCUGGCGGCAUGCCUAACACAUGCAAGUCGAACGAGACCUUCGGGUCUAGUGGCGCACGGGUGCGUAACGCGUGGGAACCUGCCCUUAGGUUCGGAAUAACUCCCCGAAGGGGGUGCUAAUACCGGAUAAUGUCUUCGGACCAAAGAUUUAUCGCCUUUGGAUGGGCCCGCGUUGGAUUAGCUAGUUGGUAGGGUAAAAGCCUACCAAGGCGACGAUCCAUAGCUGGUCUGAGAGGAUGAUCAGCCACACUGGGACUGAGACACGGCCCAGACUCCUACGGGAGGCAGCAGUGGGGAAUAUUGGACAAUGGGCGAAAGCCUGAUCCAGCAAUGCCGCGUGAGUGAUGAAGGCCUUAGGGUUGUAAAGCUCUUUUACCCGGGAUGAUAAUGACAGUACCGGGAGAAUAAGCUCCGGCUAACUCCGU
RNAcentral lists this ribosomal RNA (432 nucleotides) under uncultured bacterium. RNAcentral describes it as "partial 16S ribosomal RNA". It matches the Rfam family "Bacterial small subunit ribosomal RNA", at positions 29 to 506 of the family's 1533-position model. The record is from RNAcentral.